AGAGUUUGAUCCUGGCUCAGAACGAACGCUGGCGGCGUGCUUAACACAUGCAAGUCGAACGUGAUUCAGAGCUUGCUCUGAUGAAAGUGGCGCACGGGUGAGUAACGCGUGGAUAACCUGCCCUGGUAUCUGGGAUAACAUCUCGAAAGGGGUGCUAAUACCGGAUAAGCCCACGGGAUCCUCGGAUUCUGCGGGAAAAGGUGGCCUCUAUUUAUAAGCUACCGUAUCAUGAUGGGUCCGCGUACCAUUAGCUAGUUGGUGGGGUAAUGGCCUACCAAGGCGACGAUGGUUAGCUGGUCUGAGAGGAUGAUCAGCCACACUGGUAACUGAGACACGGUCCAGACUCCUACGCGGAGGCAGCAGAUGGGGAAUUUU
RNAcentral lists this ribosomal RNA (375 nucleotides) under uncultured Geobacter sp. RNAcentral's name for it is "bacterial SSU rRNA". It matches the Rfam family "Bacterial small subunit ribosomal RNA", at positions 8 to 365 of the family's 1533-position model. The record is from RNAcentral. Lineage: Bacteria; Pseudomonadati; Thermodesulfobacteriota; Desulfuromonadia; Geobacterales; Geobacteraceae.